RNAcentral lists this ribosomal RNA (1218 nucleotides) under metagenome. Its description in RNAcentral is "bacterial SSU rRNA". It matches the Rfam family "Bacterial small subunit ribosomal RNA", at positions 284 to 1520 of the family's 1533-position model. The record is from RNAcentral.
UAGCGGGUUUGAGAGGAUGAUCCGCCACACUGGUACUGAGACACGGACCAGACUCCUACGGGAGGCAGCAGUGAGGAAUAUUGCACAAUGGGGGAAACCCUGAUGCAGCAACGCCGCGUGGAGGAUGACGCAUUUCGGUGUGUAAACUCCUUUUAUAUGUCAAGAAAAUGACGGUAGCAUAUGAAUAAGCACCGGCUAACUCCGUGCCAGCAGCCGCGGUAAUACGGAGGGUGCAAGCGUUAUUCGGAAUCACUGGGCGUAAAGGACGCGUAGGCGGGAUGCCAAGUCUGAUGUGAAAUCCUAUGGCUUAACCAUAGAACUGCAUUGGAAACUGGUAACCUAGAGUAUGGGAGGGGGAGAUGGAAUUAGUGGUGUAGGGGUAAAAUCCGUAGAUAUCACUAGGAAUACCGAAAGCGAAGGCGAUCUCCUGGAACAAUACUGACGCUAAGGCGUGAAAGCGUGGGGAGCAAACGGGAUUAGAUACCCCGGUAGUCCACGCCCUAAACGAUGAACACUAGUCGUCGCUCUGCUAGUCAGGGCGGUGAUGCACUUAACAGAUUAAGUGUUCCGCCUGGGGAGUACGGUCGCAAGAUUAAAACUCAAAGGAAUAGACGGGGACCCGCACAAGUGGUGGAGCAUGUGGUUUAAUUCGAAAAUACGCGAAGAACCUUACCUAGCCUUGACAUUUAAGAAAUACCCUAGAGAUAGAGUAGUGCCCUUCGGGGAAUCUGAAAACAGGUGCUGCACGGCUGUCGUCAGCUCGUGUCGUGAGAUGUUGGGUUAAGUCCCGCAACGAGCGCAACCCUCGUCCUUAGUUGCCAGCUGUUCGGCUGGGCACUCUAAGGAGACUGCCUUCGCAAGGAGGAGGAAGGUGAGGACGACGUCAAGUCAUCAUGGCCCUUAUGGCUAGGGCUACACACGUGCUACAAUGGGGCGUACAGAGAGUUGCGAUACCGCGAGGUGGAGCCAAUCUCAUAAAGCGUCUCUCAGUUCGGAUUGAAGUCUGCAACUCGACUUCAUGAAGCUGGAAUCACUAGUAAUCGUAGAUCAGCAAUGCUACGGUGAAUACGUUCCCGGGUCUUGUACUCACCGCCCGUCACACCAUGGGAGUUGAUUUCACCCGAAAUUGGGAAGCUAACCUUCGGGGGGCUACCACUUACGGUGGAAUUAGCGACUGGGGUGAAGUCGUAACAAGGUAACCGUAGGAACCUGCGGUUG